RNAcentral lists this long non-coding RNA (25466 nucleotides) under Prunus persica (peach). RNAcentral's name for it is "long non-coding RNA (PPER_LNC007619)". Lineage: Eukaryota; Viridiplantae; Streptophyta; Magnoliopsida; Rosales; Rosaceae. The record is from RNAcentral.
UUUCUCUCUCUUUUCCUCCUUGUCAGUUAUAAUCACAUUUAUAGUAUGUUUACUUACCAUGAAUAGGAGAAGCCAUUAAUUGGGGAAAGGGUAAUCGAGGAAUAGGAAUUGAAUAAACUACUUUCCCUAGUUGAUUUCAUUUCUAAUUUUAAGGGUGUUUGAUGAUGAAUUUUAAUGUGGAAUUGGAAUCAUUCCAAUACUCAUACCUGAUAAGUAAAUAUACCAUUAAUGACCCCAUUGACUUAAUAGAGAUUUUUUUUAAAUUGUUUUAAAAUACUAUUUUUUUUGUAAAAGAAAAGUACCUUUUAUAUAAAUCUUGCAUAUUCGAUGAAACUUGUGUAGUAGAAGCCAAUGAAAACUUGCAAUAUAUAAAAUAAGGCAAAUUCUUUUACUCACGUACCCUUUGAAUUGUUGGUCCAAGGAAGGAAGUGUGAAAAACUUAGAACCGCAAAGGGAGAUUUGCCAUGGCCUUCACAAAAACUACGAAAGAGGAAUUCUAUUAAAACCCUAGUCCACUCUCUGACCAUGACCAAACAAAGGCGCUAACCUUUCAAAGCCAGUGGCAUGUGUCGCCAUGAUCAUGAUGUACAUGUCAUGAUCCAGUCAUAUAUGGAUACAAUAGUAAUUUACCAAUUUUUUGAAUUUUAUUUUUGAAUCUGGAUAAGUAUAGAAAGUAAAAUUUGGGAUGCUGUAUAAUAUCAUCUAGGAAAGAGAAAACUGGUUUUGGAUAUGAGUAAUUCAAAUAAAAACGAGGGCACAUUUGUCAUUUGACCCAAGAGUUUCCUCAGAGCAACGUAAAUGAUGAUAGGUAGAGCUGGACUACCCAUAUUUCCAUGCCAUCCACUGGCGGACUCAGAAAGUUUUUAGCGAAUAUGCAAUAUUGACUAAGUAUGAAAAAUAGUUUUUGGAAUAAUCAUUUUCUCAAAAUAAUUUUUUGCGGCUUUUAUUCCUUACACAUCAAAUAAGAAAACUUAAUUUUAUGAGAUUUUAUUAUGACGUAUAUGUUAAGUUAAUGAGCCAUCAUUUUUAGCCUAAAUCAUAUUUUGCACUAAAACCAAUUUUUCAUAUUUUGAUUUGGUGGGAAUUUGAUUUUCUAGUAUUUUUAUUUGAAUCCAAAUGGGGGAUACUUCCUUAUUUACAUUGUAAACGUAAGUAAAUGAAGUAAUAUAAAAAUAAAUGAAAGUAAAAGGACAAAGACAUUUACUUAAAUGUUGAAAAUGAAAAUAAAGUAAUCAGUACACUAGUUGAGAAAAAUGGCAAUUUGAAGCACCUAUAAUGAUUUUUUCGGCAAUGGGAGGUGCAGCUGCACCUCCUUGCGCCUUAAUAGGUCCGCCAAUGAUGCCAUCCCCAUCCUAUCCUAUGCAUAUGUACGCAUGUAUGUAUAUGCAUGCUCGACAUGUAUGUCCAUGAUGUUGGAAUAUACAUGAAUCAUGAUGCCAUGGCCUAUGGCAUAUGGGGGUGGGGUCACAUCAUACAUGGUUUGACGCCGUUACGUUGAGGGCAAAAGGCAAUAACGGCCGUUUAAAGCUAAAUAUCAGCUUAACAGCUGACAGUUGGAGGCUGACGACCUUAAGUGCUUCAAAAGAAGAUUCUUUCUCUAAUUUAUGUAUUUUAAUGUGAUAGUUGUUUGAGUUCCGAUCCCGUAUAUUCUAUCCUACAAUAUUAAAAUGCGUCGUUCGCAUCUAUCGCUUUACAUGGAACACCUUACUCUCCUAUUGGCUGUCACCUUAUUAAUCGGUUGGCUAGGAAACGACGUGGAGCGUAUGGUGCUCGUGGGUCUAGUUAAUAAUUUGGCUCGCGAUGCAUGGAGACAAAUUCUUUUCUCUUUUUCUAUUUUUGCUUAUUAAUUUGGUAGAGUCCAAAAUUUUUUAUUCUUCCAAAAAAACCCCAGUAUAACAUAUAAAAUUUGUUAUAAUGUAAUUUAGUAAAAUUAUUAAAAAUUGUAAAAAUUAAACAAUUUAUAUAUAUAUUAUCAUAAUUUAAGAAUUAUUCUUGCUAAAAGCUAACAAAGUCGGAAUUCUUUUGACCAUUUGAUCAUCAUCAUUAAUAUUUCAGUGUCUAAUCUAAACUAUUAUGUUCAUUUCUUUAUUUUUCUCACAAUUAGGUGAUGUAAUAGCUUUGAUUUGAUUGAUAUUUUGUAAGGAUGAUUUUUGAACCAGAAUCAAACAAAUGAUCACAUUAAGAUGUAGGCCACAUAUGAUCCCUUAGUUAAUUUUUUAUUUUAUAAGAGCAAUAUUGAGGGAGGAAAAAUCAAACUUAGAACCUCGAAUACAGAUGCAAAUGCUCUUAACCACUUGAGUUACGAACCUUGCAUCCCUUAGUUCUUAUUAAAUGAGAUUCCUAUUAAUAAGUUUUCCAUGUAUUUAUAUAUAAAUGUAACAUGUUAAUCCUACCCUGAAAGUAUUUGAAUAUAGUUGACCUUUUUGUUUGAAUCUACUUAAAUGACAGUUCUUUGGUUUCUUUAAACAAAUAAUAUAGAGUUCGAUAAAAAAAAACAAAUAAUAUACAGAAAAUACAUCAACAUAAAAUAUACGUAUAUAUAUAUAUAUAUUUUUUUGUUGGGAAAAAAAAAUUUAGACUCAUCUGUCUAUUCUAUAUUGGUGCCAAAUAUUCCAAAUAUCCUGUUGAAGGGAAUGUGUAAACUACACAAAAGAUAAAUACAAAAAAUACAUAAGGUAAAAUAAUAAUUACCAAUUAUUUAAAAGAAACAAAAUAUAAAUAAAAGGAAGUGUGUAACAUGUGUCACGUGAUGAACAUGUGUAGGGUUUAGGGUAUAUCCGGAAAAACAAAGUAUUUAUUUUUCGAGCCGGACCAUAAGUUAGCAAACCGAACAACCUAAAAAGCAAGCCUCGAACCAACUGGAAUCUUGCGAUCCAGUCCAAAUAAUAGCAGAAAUGUAUAUUCAAUUUGAUCCAGCCCAUCAUACCAAACCAACAAGUAUUAGCAAAAGCAUGGCGUUACAGAGAGCAGUAUCAUAUAUGAUAUGUAUGCCAUGCAUUUGUACUUGAUCCAUCAUCUGUGUUCUUCAAUCAUGGCAUUGGCAGCCGUAGAAAGAAAUGCAUCUGUUAAAGCUGAACAAGAUGUUUUCCUUACAAGGGAAGCUGCCUAGAUGGAUAUAUUAAGGCUUUGGAGCUAUAUAUUAAGUAUUGUUUGAAAUUAUCUAACUUUUCAAUGGUCAUAAUCAUCAAGGGGUUUUGUGAAAACAAUUUGAAUCAUCAAGGGAUAUUAUUGUAAUUUAGUGCACUAACCCAUGAGGUUUCAAAUUGUUUUCGCAAACCCCAUUUUUUCUUUUCCGUCGAAAAAUUGCUCAUAUCAUAAAUAAAAUUCUUCAAAUGAUAAAAGUAACUUCAAUGAUUAGAUCUUAGGGGUGUAUGUGCAAUCCAAUAUUUAAGGUUAACUUUGUAUUUUGGAGAAUUUUUCUUGAUGACAUCAACAACUUUUGGAUGGAAAUUAAUGAAAGGGGAUUUGUGAAAACAAUUUGAAUCAUCAGGGGGUAUUAGUGUAUUUGCAAAACCUCAGAGGGUUUUGUGAAAAUGCUAAAAACCUUAGGAGGUGUCAAUAUAAGUAGCUCAAGAAAAGUAUCUGGACUAUUAUGACACUACACUACCACGUUACAGGAACAACUGUACACGAAGUUUUCUUAUCUGGAAACAGUGUGCGAAGUAGUCCCAUAGUAUUAUAUGUCUUUUCUUCCAACCCACAUUGUUACAUGUUAAACAGGGUGCAAUUUGUGAUUGAUAUUCCAAAAUAAGGGUGUUUUAACUUUUAGAUAUUAGCCCUUGCAACUAAUUUCCAUAGGCACAAGCCUAGAAAUAUGUUUUUACUAAGUGCAACCCACAAGUUUCAAAAUGAAAUUCGAAAUGUUGUUGAGAAGAUAAUAAGUGUGUCAUUAAUUCUGAUGUCUCACCCAAAACAAGAAGAAAUUGAAAUGUAUUUAUUUAUUAUUAUUUUUUGUUGGGAACAAUAGGGGCUAAAGCCCAAAUAAAUAGAAAAACUAAGCCACAACUUGCCUGGGCCUAGCCACACAACUAGCAUUAGUAGCUAGCAACUCAGAGAGAAAAGGAGGAGCCCGAUCAAGAAGAUGAAACCCAAAAGGAAAAUCAAAACUCAUAGAGGCCAACGCAUCAGCAACACAAUUCUGCUCACGAAACACAUGCUUAAUAGAGCACUGCCAAUUAGCUCGAAUAUUCAACUUGCAACAAUUGCCAAUUAUCUCAAUAAACCACCUGCCCUAAUUAAACCAGCCUUAGAUUUUCGGCCACCAUCAAAAUUAAUCUUACACGUCUCAGGAUUAGGAGCAAUCCAAUGCAAAUGCACCACAUGAUACAUAGAAGCAGCAUAAUUAUGAUGAGAAGCAAUAAACCACUCCAAAGCAUAUUGCAAAACCACAUGAGAGGGGUCAGAAGGCAUGAGAAAACCUUGAUAAAAAACCAACUUGCAGCUCCACUUACAGACAAACCGAAGAUAUGCAGCAAAGAUUAGAACCAAGGCAAACCAUGCACGACAAUUCUUCUAGAUUGUAAAUUAUGAAAUAACCAGUCAUCAAACCCCAUCGCAGAAUAGGCAUCAUUCUCAGGAGAGAAACCAAAGCCUUCCCAAAUGGAUAAUGUCACACUGCAAUCCCUGAAAAGGUGCUUAAUAGAUUCCACUAAAGAAUUAUAUAUAUGACAUAUCAUAUUUUGAGCCAAACCCCCUCGCAGUCUUUCAGCAUUAGUAAGCAACUUUUUAUAACAAGGAACCCACAAAAAAAUUUUGAGCUUAGGAGGAAGAGCACGCUUCCAAAUAAAAUGCCAAUGCCACUGUAAGAAAUCCUCCCCACAAUUCGAGGUACCAUAAGCAAACUUAAUAGAGAAUGUACCAUUUGAAGUAAGCUUCCAAAUACAUUGGUCACGACCACUUCCAAAAAAACCAACGUGGGUACUUAUAAUCAACUUUACAAUAUUCUUAAAUAGGCAUAACAAUAAACAAUUGAUGUCUCACACCCCAUCUUCCAAGAAAUCACUUACAUUCAACUGCAACAUGUCCUCAGACAACUCAAUGAGAGCAUAUUGGGAAAGCGGCCCACAACUGAGCUAAUUAUCAAUCCAAAACAAAAUAUCAUCCCCCAUACCCACUGUCCAUUUAAUGCCAUUAGGAACAAUAUGAGCUCCAUACAGAACACCUCACCAAACAUUAGAACUAGAAUGAAAAUGGAGAUAUUUAGCAGCAAGAACAUCCCUAUGACGCAAAUACUUAGCUUGAAACACUUUAGCCCAAAGACCUUGAUCAUUUGGUAGUAACCUUCAACUAGGUUUUGCUAAAAUAGCUUGAUUCAUCAAAAAAAAUUUCUUGAGCCCCAAACCACUAGCCCUCUUAGUUUACGAAUAGUAUCCCAAUUCACUAAAUGCACCUUAUACUGAGCAGCAGUAUGGCCCGAAAGAAAAUUCUUGUUUCGUUGAUCAAGCUUCUCGCAAACUGAAACUGACAAUUGAGCAGUUUGCAUAGUAUAUAUGGGGAUAAUAGCAAUAACAGAAUGUAACAAAGUAAGCCUACUAGCAAUAGAAAGUGCGUGACUUUUCCAAGCAGUUAAACACUUUUGAACCUUAUCAAUUACUCCUUGAUAGGUAGCUCCAGUCACCCUCUUAUGAAUCAAAGGAACCCCAAGAUACUUCCCAAGACACUCAUGUUAAUCUAUAUAGGCUGCACAUAUUAAAACACUAACCUUGAUCGUAAGCUAUUGAGUGAUGUUGUGAUAGUUGAACAGAGAGUAACCAAAUUCUUCUACUCAGAACGAUCCUUUAAGCUGUUAUUCUAGAUGGGGUUUUAAAUGCUUUUUGCUAGUCUGAUCGUCUUAGCAGGGACUUGAUAUUUAUAUGCAUUAGCUCAAGAUUCCUAGCCUAUCAAGGAAUACAAGAGCUAUCCUAAUUGCAUUGGUAUAAGGUGUUCUAAUCGAUUACACAUAAGGAAUCUGUUGGAACAAGGAUUUCUGUAAAACACAACUUCCCUUAGAACCAAAUACCAAUUCUAAUCAAGUUCUUAAUCAGUACAAAGACCUAGAUUUCCUAUGAUGAUUAGAAGACCAUAUUAAAGUGGUUUAAGACAUAAUAUAUCUAACAUUCUCCCACUUGGUCAAAUAAUCAUCAAAGCCUUUGUAUGACUUCUAUAUGGCCAUUGAACUAAAAAAGAAUUGAAUUGUUCCUUAACAAGUCCUUGUCAAUAAUAAAAAACUGCAUGGAACUAUCAAGAUGUAUUGAGUUAAGUCACCCAAUAUCUUUAUAAUUACACAUACAGAUUUUAUUAUCACAUAGACUCCAUCGAAUUAGAACCAAAAGAUGAACAUGACUUACUCCAAAUGUGUUUUAAUGCCAUCAUCAUCUCAGUCCUCUUUAUGAGAUUUUGUAAUCUCUUCACUAAAAAAUAGUCUUGACACUUUCAUGAAUAGAUAUCAUAUGCAGUCUUUAUAGCUAGCUUAUUCCACAAAACAGAUAUCACCAUAUUCAUUUGUCAAAAUUUAAAAGAAGUAAUCAGUUAAAAUAACUAAACUUUAUUAAUAACCACAACCAACCUUCUUGUGAAUAUCCAAUCGAAACAAAACAAAAAGCUCCCACUGAUCCUAGGCAUCAAACUGUGUAGUAAAGUCAUGCUCGUUGAUUUGGAAAAGUGCAAUGGGUUUCUGUCCAACACUUCUUCAAAUUAUUGCAGACAAUUAUCAAAAUCAAAACAGAUGUCGACUUGAAGAGUCUUUCUCUCAACCUUUCUGUAGACAAAACAUGUGUAAAACCCUCAAUGUUUUCUCUUUUACAGUCCUUACAGCCAAGGAUUAAAAUAUCAGCCCUCCAAUUUACGGAUAUUUCGGGGAUAUAUCGUUAUCAUUUUAGGUAUCAGGAAAAAAUCAACAAAAAUGACAUAUAUAGGCAUUGAAACACAUAAUUUUGGUGUAAAACUUUCAUAGAUGUUAUGUACAUUAUCAAUGAAUGUAUUGAACAAAUAAAACUCAAAUUUACUAAUAAUAAGAUAUACAUGUGAUGAAAUAUAAGUAGUAUGUAAUGCGCGUUAAUGAAAAAUUUGAAAAUAAAAUGUUAAUUAGAAUGAAUAAACCAUGCAUAAAUCCAUAGUUUGUUUAAACAUUGGAUUACAAUUUAGAUAAGUGUCAAUCUACAUAAAUGAAGAGCUCCUAUGAGGUUCAAAUAAUGAGGAACAACCAUAUAGAUUCAUACAAUAGUCAUACCAAGUCAUGUAACCUGAGCAGUUUGUAAGCCAUGUUUGAACAUGGUGCACAUAGGUCUAUCUUGAGCUCCCUAUUGUCCUCUCAUAUAUGGGAUAGUUAGGAUUAACUAACUAGUAGGUCCAUAAUAUGUUUUAUCAUCUUGAGCUCCAUAACUAGUUCCACUAUAAUCAAACAUGACAUAACCAUAGCCAUCAUAAAAUUCAUUUGAGUUAGUACUAGGUCUAGUUCCUAUGCUCAUAGAUCCAAAACUGAUCGCCAUGUCCUCUUCAUAUGGAUUGGAGGUAUGUGGGCAGUGGACUGUGCAUAUAUUCUUCAUAUUAAUAAAUUAUAGGGUUCUGGGCAAGGAUUAGCUAUUUUUGGGUUUCAAUUUGCUUCAAUUGCCUUCAAAACUUCUAAAUUUUUUUUGGGUUCUGUUAUGGGUAUCGGAAAAUAUCGGGGAUAUCGGCAAAAUAUUUGGGAUAUCGCACUUAUCGGGGAUAUAUCGUCGAUACAUGGGAAGAUAUGGCCUUACCCCCCCAGUAUCGGUGUCGACAGUUGAAAAUACCGAUAUAUCAGUGUAUCGGCUGAUAUUUCAACCCUUGCUUACAGCUUGUCUUGCUUACCAUGGAAACUUUAAGAUUUGUCCUAAUUGUAUAUACCCUUAUGCAAUGUUUUUAUUGAUCACUAAACUGUAUCCAGGAACCAAUCGUUCUUCUGUUGCCUUAGAUCAAAAGACUACAAUACUGCUAUCAUUCUGCAACCGAAUAAAUAUUGAGUCCAAUAUACUGUUACCAAAACAUUAUGUCUUAUAGCGUGCAAAGUAAUCUUGCAUGAACUCAGACUGUAAUAUUGAAAUAUGAUAUAUGAUCCUUCUUGAACAUUUCAAAUUUGUAGUGCCACCACCAAGCCAAAAUAUAACCUGCAGGCAUCAACUUCUGAGAGUCUUAGCAAUAUUCUUCUGUAAAUAGGACUUAUACCCGUUCACCUAUGUGCAAUUUCCUUAGCGAUUUCCUUCAUGCUAUCCAAUACCCAUUUACCUAUAUAUAUAAGACCAAACUUUCUACAGCAUCUUGAACUUUACUUUAAAUUCUUUAACUUCUUUUCUUAAAACUCUCUUCUCCCCUUUCUUGAAUGAAACCAUCUAUUAAUAACGGAAAUUUCCUUACUUAUUUCUUUAUUCAAGAAGGUAGAGUUGUAAGUGUCGACUCAUAAUAUAUAUAGAGGAAUUCCAGUGCUUGAAAGUUUAUUUGUGAGUUCUAGAUACCUGAGAAAAUUCCAAUUAUCCCUAGACUUUUCUUUUCCAUUUGAUUUUUAUUUCUCUCAUUGUGUGAUCCAUUCAAAUGCUUAAAUCAUGCUAAGUUUAUAGCAAUUGUCCACAAUGGUGCUAAAUUCCUUGCUCUAUAUUACCUUCUUUGGUUCAUUAAUUUCCUUGCCUAUCUUGCACACGAGUAACGAGAUGCAGUUGUCUUUGAACAAAUUUUCACUAGUUUAAAAACAAUGCUUCUUAUUCUAUAUCUGUAUCAAGAAUUCCUCACUGUUUCCUACAGUUUUCUUGGACUCAUAACUUCUAUUUGCAGUUUCUUCACAACCAUCUUUUUCAGUAAUUCCAAGAACUUUUAUGAAGGCGAUUUGAAAUCAAUUCUUGUAUCCAGUUUCCAUUACUUUAAAUAAUUAAACUAUAUCUUGAUCCUGCAAUCCCAAACUUGAUUUGACUUCCCUUUAUGUAAGAACCUGAUUCAUUAAAGAUCUCAUUCUCCCCUUUCUUGAAUUAAGCCAUCCAAUUAUCUUAGACAAAAUCUUCUCACUUAUUCUUCAUCCAAGAAAGUGAAGCUUUAUCUUCCAUCCAACCUAUAAAUUAAAUUAAUUAUUAAGGUUGUGAAGAAAUUAUUAAGGUUGUGAAGAAGGUCCAGCAAGCAUUUAAUAUAUUACUAACUGAAUGAGGCUUCAGAUCACUAGUAAUAUCUCUUGUUCCAUCUUUCGAAUUUUUUUGGUCUUGAUUUCUAAUGAGUCUUAUACCUUUGAGAUGAAUCCAACAAUUCUCAAACUUGUACCUCUUCAGUAACUUUAUCUUCAUUUCUUUUCUCAAUCCUUUGUGUGUGAUCCUCUUAUCUUACUUAAAACAUUCUCAGUCUACUGCAAUUGUCCAAAAUAAUGCUUGCUUUCUUGCUUCUCAUCAGUCUAUUUAUUUUCCUUGUUGAUCCUGAGAGAAUAACCAAUGUGUGCAAUUGGCUUUAAAUGAUUUUCCAAGUAUUAUGUGUCAAGUGUUCCCUUACUGUUUUUAUUUUCCAUGAAAAUUCUUUCACACUCCAUGCAGACCAUUUUGUAUAUGCGAUAAUGCUACUGUUAGGAACUUUGUAGUUGAACUGAUAUACCAAAUCAAAUUUUUUGUCAACCAAACUUUAUUGCUGAAAAUUGAAACAGACUUAUCAAACUCCAAGUUGAAGUUUGAUUUUACAAUCCUACUGAAUGAUUCUACCUUCCUUGCUAUGGAAAGAAUGCAAACUACAUAAACUAGCUCAAGAAGGAAAACAAAACCAACUGAAAUACUAGCUACUUAAUGCAUUUGAUCCAUGAUCAUUUUUCUCCUUGCUUGGUGGCAUCUGGUUUAUUAGUCCAACCAUUUCUUAUAUCUUCUAUAUUCUUUCUUCAUGUGCCCAAAUUUCUUACAAAAGAAGCACUUCAAUCCAACAGGUUUUUCCUUCCUUUUCUUCCUCAUGUUUGCUUGUUUUCCCUGUUGCUAUAUAGUUUUCCCAUAUGUUUUUGGCUUUCCUUUUAUAUCAUGUACGACAUUGACAUGAUUUUGUUCCUUCUCUUUCUUGUUGUCUUUUUGUUGUUGCACACAAAUACCUAUAAGAUCAUUCAUGGUCCACAUCUUCUUUUGAGCAAUGUAAGUGCUUUUGAGAAGUUUGAAACUACUCGGUAGAGAGUUGAUUGCAAAAUACAACAUCAUAGCUUCAUCUACAUUCACAUCUAGGGAUCUUAGCUUGUUUCCAACAUCGAGCAUUUUUGUUAUGUGAACCCUGACACAUCCUUCCCAAUCAUAUUUCAAAAUUUUCAAUUGACCCAUCAAGUUUCCUAUCUCAGCUUUCUUGGAUUCUUGAAACUUUUCUCCAAUUCCCUCAAGGAAAGCCUUUGCAUUGUCAGCUGUGAAGGAAACAUGCAUCUAAUGCUUAGGAAAUGAACUUUAGCCACAAUCUAUACAACAAAAGCAUUCUAAAUGGCGAAUUCAUUUUGUUUAUACUAGUUGAGCUAAACCUUUUUCAUUUUAAACUAAGAAUCUUAGCCUAGUCUCUUUAAGCACAAAUAGGAAAAGGAAAAGAGAAUAGAUCAUUUACCCUUGAUGACAUUUUUUUAAUUUCUCAAGAAUGAACACCUUUGUUGGAAAGACCUUUUGUUUCUCUUGAUUUUGACUCCUUCACCUUAAGGCUCCAAGAUUGGAGUCCUCUAUCUCACCACACCAAAUGCUCCUAGAGAUGAAGAGAAGGCAAUCAAGAAGUAUGGAUGCUAGUCUACUUCUUGAUUGGACCAAUUUUUGGUUUAUGGAAGAUGAGAUACAAAGAUGAUCACUCAUCAACCAAAGUAGGAAACCAGAAAUCCUAGCUAGGUUUUCUCCAACACUUAGCUUAUAUAGGACAACACAAAAGGCAAUUGGGUGGGUAUUUAGGGCUCCAUUUGGUCCAUGGGUCAUGUCAUCCUAUGCCACUUAUCCCUUGGGCCAAAUAGCCUUUUGUACUAUUUUGUCCAUUUCCUUUUAAAUCAUAUUUAAAAGUCCAAUCCAAUAUUUCUAUAUGUCAAUAUUAAUUCUAUAAUUAAUCUUUUAAUUAUAAUUUAACUAUUAAAUUAUAAUUAUAAUCUUACUUAAUUGACCCGGUCGAAUUAUUUGACUUUAGUCAAUUGCUCCGGUCAACAUGUUGACUUUUGACCGUUGACUUUGACAUUUGAUUAUCAACCAUUGACUUGUGUCUCCUCAUUUGUACCUCUAAUAACAUUAUUUGGGUGUGCAGAUCCAUAGGUUCCCUUUAGCAAGGUAGUGAGUUGACUCAACUCCUCAGAGAUGAUAUACGAAUUAAAUUCCACAAUUUAAUUCUUCCUAUUAAUAAAGGUUAAUUGAAACCUUUUAGGAUAUCCAUAAACCAUGGUUGUCGCCUAGAAGCAAGUCACGUUUAUCCUAACUAAAUGAGACGUUGUGAAAGAACCUAUUCAAAUUGGAAUUACCGUGCAAUUGAAUCCUUCUCUUAUGUCAAUACUCUUUAUUCACAUUAUUAGAUCACGGAAUCCUAUUGUCAAUAUCCUAAUGUGAAUCAUUCCUUUUAUAUGAUUAUCCUGGUAAGAUUUGAAGACUUCUUCUUUCAAGUCUUAUCUACUACUAUGCGUAGAGAUUUGACUAAUCAUAUCCUGGAGUAUUCUCUCUCCUUUACUGAGAGUAGAGAUUCCUUGUUGUACAUUCAUUUGCUUCCAUGACUCUAUUAAGAAUCCUAUUGAGCACCUUUAAGCUAUGCCUAAUUCAACAUGACCGUAUAGUGCCCUCAAAGAUUAACAACAUAGGCACAAAACAUCUAUGAUGCCUCAGGUCUAAGGAUUAGUUUGCACCAUUGCAAUUUAUGAGUUCCAGCUUGACAUGUGAGUAAAGACUUCCAUGCUGUAACUUAUGUGUUGGAUCACGUUCAGUGUACUUGUUCUUCUACAAGCACCUACACACAUAUCGAUGUGUCUCCACACUUAAUGACUUGAGGCCUGGUCAUUCCCUACAUAUAGAGACGAUACUGUGUGUACUGAUCUUUGUGGAAUAUUGACGCCCAAUCAAUUAUUCCUAGAAGUGUAAGUUUUGUUAUUUUAAUGUUCUAAUAUUUUACUUUUCCUUUUUUUAAUCUUUUUGUAAGUUAUGUUUGUAUGAUCUUGUCCCUUUCCGUUGGCUGAGAAAAAAAAAAGUGCUAUGUGUGGCUAUAAGGCAGUAGGCUAAUAUUUAAUUGUAUUGCAUUUCUUUAUACAUUUAAGCUAAGUGAAACUCAGCACCAGGCUAAAGCCCAGUAUAGCCCCUUGAUAGUUCUGCCCUUGUAUGGAAAUCAUAUGAAAGAUACAAUUUACCUACUCCCUAAUAAUUUCGCGCAAUAAAUAAAUUAGAUAAAAUUAAAAAUUAUCCCCCAAAAGAAGCAAUGUAUUUAUUAAGGGCGCUGAUUUUCCCAUUAAACCAUCUAUGAAAACAAGGUGCGCCUUACGGAAAUCAGCCCCAAAGUAUUACAUGGUUGUUUUUCUAGCCCAUGGUAUUACCUCUUGAAUAUCACUAUAAAUGCAAGUCUCGUUUUAAUUCCCAACGCACAAUUGUUCACCUUUGUUAACAUAGAAUGCAUAGCGUUCUUCUAAAAAAAUAACGCUUUCGGGAUGAAGCCCAUCUUACUCAGCGAAGAAGAUGAAUGCGAAGAUGAUGACAAUGGAGAUUCAUAUUCAAUAUUUCAAGUAUCGGAUUGGGGAUUCACCAGAAAACUUGUCUCCUCGGUGCUAUAUAUUUUCGAAGGUUUGUUGACGGACAAUCUUUUUUAAGUUGAGCUGAUUCUUUGAGUUAUAAUUUCACUCUUUUUUCUAAUAAACUGUCUUGAGUGAUAAUUUGAAUUGAUUUGGUUCUCUUGUCUUGUUAUAUACUUGAUUAUUUAUGUGUUUAUCAUACUUGGUUUUGCUUUCAUGGUUGCCAUUCUUCAGAAAUAUUAAGUUCAAAUUGAAAUACUAUAAGUAGAUUCAGUUAUCACACACACAUGAAGAUGAGUGCCCAUGAGUCGUAGCUCAAGGGAAAGGAUGGGAUGAGGUGAAAUGUAGAUUCUAGGUUCAAUUCUCCGUGUAAUUGAAUUAUAAAAGAUUGAGUAUAAGGUCAUAUGUUCGAUUGUCCCCUUUCCACCUCACUAUUGCUUGUAUCAAAAAAAGAAAAAAAAGAAAAUACCAUUGAUGCACACGAACAACAUUGGCAUAUGGGUUCUUUGAGUGGUUGGGCCUAUCUGCAAUCCAUUACUCAAGAGAAAUAGAGGCAUGGAGAGAGAGCCAUCAGUCCUUGAAGCUUGAUUGGAAGCUUGGUUGGGUAAGCACGUCAAAAUUUUAUAUCCUCUCUUUAAUCUAUUGUGCUUUUGUUUUUCGGGAUCGAACUUAACUUCCUAUGCUCAUUUUUGUUCUUAAAAUUUAACAGGUUUAGGCAUUUAACCGCAAAAUAAAUAUUAUUUUUCAUGGCGAAUUUAGAGGAUGGCAAGGCCAGAAGGAAAUCAAGACAAACUUGAUGAAGGGUCAAUGAGCAGUAGUGUGCACCCUUAAACUUGAUGAGGUUUACUACUAGAAAACCUCUUAAAGUUUAUUCCCAUUAGACACACAUGUCUAUUCUAUUUCUAGACCAUUUUGGAGUCCUAGUUGAUCUUAGCGACAUGUAUAUUUGUGAUUUGCUUUUAGUGAAAAGAAUACUCAUGAUUUGCUCUCCGUGGACGUAGGCGUUGCUGAACCACGUUAAAGUCUCGUCUUCUUUUCAUAUUGAUUUUUUUUUCUUUUACUAUCAUUAAUAUACUAAUUGUAUGUGUAAGUAAACAUAAACAAAUUUUUUUAUUUUUUUAUUUUGGAAUUAAAAAAUUAUUCUAGCACUACCACAUUGACACAUGCAACAAUUGAGGGCAUAUGAUAUUGAUUCAAGAACUUAGAGGGAUUUAAAAAAAAAUUAUAGGCAUCUUUCUUGGAACAAGUCUAUAAUUUUUAUUUUAUUUUUUCUCUUACAGUUGUAAUUUAACUUUAGCUUCAUUUCAAAUGAAAUGAGUUGAAACACAGCUCGAAUCAUGAAUUUAACUUUAGCCUAUUUGGCCUUGUAAAAUUACCCUUUGAUUUGAUAGGCCUAUUCUUUACAUCUUCUAACAAAGUGGGAUUCUAUUAUACCAAGUAGGCAUUGAAAAUUCAUUAAAUCCUCACACAAUUUUAGCGCUGGUUCAACCAGUGCCACUAUAUCAAAUGAUUACUAACAAUCCAUAUAAUUCGCACACAAUCCUAAUGACACUUAAACCACAAGUUCUUUUGAUUCAAAGAGUGAACUAAAAUAAUGUUCAUAUAAUACUUGGCAUUUACAAAUAUGUAUCUUAUUUUUUUAAAUCCUUAGGGCUGACCCCUACCCUUACAAAAACGAGCAUGUCGAGGCCCGCCCAUAAUAUCAUGCUAAGGCGACAUGCGUAUAUAACCAAUUAAGAUAAUAUGUUAGCUGUAAAUUAACUUAAAUUCCAUUGUUAAAUGCAUGUGUGAUAAUAUGUUGUAGGUAUUCCUUUCUAGGUCAAUUCUAUUUUCUCGCUUAUUUACUAUGGCGACAAAGAAUCAAAUUAUCAUUAUCAUUACAAUUCUUCCAUUUUUCAACUCUCAAAAAAUCCUAGCCUCCUUUCUCCCAAAAAACACUCUUAGAGCCUUUUCCACCUUGAGGGGGGGAAGAAGCCAUUGUUCUUCCCCCCUCUCCUCUCUUCUCUUCAUUUCUUCCUCCUUUCACCUCUUCCCCCAUUUUCAAAGACAAAGGGUUUUCCCUAUUUGUCUUAGUUUUAUUAUGAUUUUCAUCCAACCAUUAUUGGCGGCUGCGGCUCAGCGUCGGAUCUUCACCUGCAUUUCGGCGUCAGAUCUCCACCACCAUCUUUUUUUGCAAUUUCUUUAUGUUUGGAAUAAGUUGCAGAGACUCUUUGGGUUCUCUAUGUAGUUUUCACCUCUCCUUUUGUGAGAGUUUUUCAUCUCUCCCUUGUGAGAGCUUUUCAUCUCUCCUUGGUGAGAGUUUUAUUUGUAUUGUUAUGGCUUGGUUUUUUCAAGCUUUAUCUCUUUUUUAUUAUUCUAAGUUUGCAAUCUUAGUUGGGAUGCUUAUGCCAGAGUUUCUUCGAGUGGAGACAUACCUGAUUUUCUUAAUUUUGAUAUUAGACCGCUCCGUUAUUAUAAUGGCCCUUUUGUGGCUAGUUUGUAUUGGCCCUUUGUGGCUAAUGGCUUUUUUAGCUGAAUUAUGAAUGCAAUCAUAGAAUUUCUCAAAAAAAAAAAAACUAUGUACUUCUCUUUCUUCACCCCAUAUUCUAAAUUCACCUCAACUUUUAAUUCAACUUUUCACAAUUUCUAAGAAAACCCCACUAUUUUCCUAAACUACCCCUAAAUAGACACCUAACAUAAAAAAAAACAAAAAAAACUCAUCAACUUCACACCCCAUGACAGGACCCGAUCCAAAUUUCGCUUUGGAAUCCGAGUCAGACCCUGUGCGUGUCCGACACCUGGCAAAUGUCGGGCACAAAUGACUUAUUUGCCUUUCUAUACAAAACACGAUAAAAUAACAAGGUUGACUUCUACCGAAAAACCGGCAGAGUUUCCCUUGUAACUGGCUCAAUACCAAAAUAUUUUCACCUGCCAAACAAGUAUACAUAUAUACAACCAACUGCCAGCAUAUGUAUAUAUACAUUCCAACAGUUCAAAUCUCAGUCUAGGGCAAAACAUCAGAGCGACUACUAAAUUUACAAAAGAGUGAAUCUUUUUACAAAACAAAAUCCUACAUCAGAAGAAAGGCGCGGAAGAUGGGAAGUGGCCCGGUGGUGGAUUCCUGUGCACAUCUACUGCCUGGGGGCGCAAAACAACAAAAAGGGUGAGUGGACCCAAAAACAAAGUUUAGAAAAUAACAUAUGAACAUACUAACCCCACUGUAAAAACAGUUAUACAAACUAACUUAUUUUCUUUAUUUCUGAAAUCAAUGCAUGUAUAUAACUAUACAUUUGAAAAACAGUUUAAAACUAUCACCUAGGUGUACCCCUCUUUCCGUCAAAUCCUUAUAUCCGUAAAUUCCUCACAUCACCAUGGGUGACACAUACUCGCAGGUCUCAGUGACACGAGGUCAGUCUGAGCCGCAACUCGCAGGAUUCAGGGAACCGUAGUCCACCUUUAUCCGCAUUACUCCCUCCACACGAGUUCGAGUACCAAGGAACUCGUGGGGCAACUGUCAAGCUUGCUGACUAAAUCGAAGGCAACAAAUAUAAUCCGAAGGCAACAUUUAAUAUCUGGGUACCAGGUGGUUUAAGAAAAUAUAAAGUUUCUAAAGAAAAUCUGUUGAAUAAUUAACUUUCUGUAACAUUUAAAAUUCUGCUGCCAUUUAUCUGAUAAUUAACGAGAAUAUCUGUCCAUAUAAGCUUUAAAGGAAAUUUCACUCGGCAGCAUGCAACAUAAAAUAGUUAACAGCAUAAAACAGCUUUUAACUGAAACUGAACUGUUUAAAUUCAUUUAUUAAAACAAAGGGUCCACUCACUGAUAGUCCGAGCUCGCUGGACCUCUUGAAAGUCCCUCCUGCGGGUCAACUGGUGCCCGGGUGCCUGAUUCAAUGACCAUAAUAGUCUAUUAAUACAAUAUAGUAUUAAAUUAAAAACCCUACCCCCGGCUCCUAAAAAUACGUGCAGCAAUUUAAAGUGAUCCCUAUGCCCAUAAAAGCUUUCCUUCCACGUGGGAUAGUUUAGCGGUAUCUUGGGACUUAAAAAGCGCUAAAGUCCAAAAAGUCAAUCCGGAACCCCACGGGUCCAUGACCUCACAAUAUGAUCCGGAUGCCGCUAGAAGGUCCAAUAUAUCUAGGACACAUGUCCUGAGGGUAUUGGUGUCGAUCGGACGGUCGGAGUAAUCACAAUCCUGUAACCGCAUAAUUUCUAAACCCUCGCCCUAGGGUUCGCGUUUUCGGAGUAUCCGGGACUCCGAUUCAUAAUCCGUCGAAUCCUACACGUUUCUAAAAUUAUCUCGAAUAACAUAUCUAAAAUUGAUUACGAUCCAACGGCUCAACAGUAUUGAAUCCGAUAAUCGCACAAUAUGGAAAAUCCGUUUCGAGGCCCAAACGGUAUCCAAAUUGAGAUCCGCGAAUUCCUAUGCGCUCGUGACGACCUAAGGAUCGCAUCAGAACACAGUAUCAUAGUACCACCCUCGCCCACGCGCCGGCAGCGAUGGGUGUCCAAAGCGAUAACGCAUCGCCGGAAAAUCGCAAAACCAAGGCUCCAAACUCCUAUCCUAGGUAUAACACCAUAUUUGGAACCACUUUUGUUCUUGGACCAACCCCAAAAACUGACAGGAAGUGGCCGAACACGUAGGCCGAAAACCGGCCAAAUUCCAAAUUGAAAACUGAGCUAGCUACGGUGAAAAUCAAUGCAAACCUACCCAAUCAUCAGCUAGAGCAUGGAAAAUAGGUAGAAAUCCAUACCUUACUCGACAAAUUUGAAGGGGAAUUGAAGGAGAACGAACGGGUUGAAUUUCUGUCAAUACCGAUUGAUUUUCUUCAGUUUCCGGCCAGCGCCGGUGGUUCCACGGGCGAGGAUUGGUCGGAAAGGAAAGAGGAGGUGGCGGCGGUUCAAACGAGACCGGUCUUGUCGCCGGCGGUGCUCUGUGGCGGCGACGGUGAUCGAACAAAAAAAACUUGUCGGGGAGGGGGGUUUGCGACGGGAGGGAGAGAGAGAGAGAGAGAGAGGUUUUAUAAAAUCUGAUUUUUCAAUUUACCAUUUUGCCCCUCGUGAUAUUUUAAUCGUAUUUUCUUCGUUAAAGCUCCGAUUCGAGCUCACUUCGUGUCUACGAACUCAUUUCGUCGUGCUAUACGCAACGGUGUAUGUGAAAUUGUCAAAUUCCUUUUCGGUCAAAAAGUCAACUUUGAGUUCAUAAUUUAGUCAAAGGGCAAACUUGUCUUUCCGCAUAAUAAAUUACUAAUUAAAUAUGAAUUUUAGGUUUGGGUCAUUACACCCCACACUCCACACCCCAUACCCUAAACCAUGUUAUCUUGCCCCUUACCAUUCUAAGGCCACCUCCAUCGCAGCCCAUUUUGCCAGGGCAAGAGGGCCCCCAAGUGGGGUUUGGACCUCCAACGUAGGAGAAGCAGCACGAGCAAGCCCUGGGUCCCAGCCAGAAGGCGGUGACAUCACGCUGACAUCAGUGAGCAAAAAAAUAAAAUAAAAAAUAAACAAGAUAAACAAAAGUCAAAUUUUUUUAAUAAAAAAAACCAAAAAAUUAUGAAUGUUUUCCCUAUAAAUACAUAACAAAUUUUUUUUUUCAAAUUCAAUUUCUAAAUUGUUUAUAUUUUGUUGCAUAUUCUUUUUUUUUUCUUGCCCUUGCCCUAGCCCUAGCCUUUUGUUGCAUAUUCUAAAUUAUUGAUAUUCACGUGUAUAGUGGUAGCCUUGUCUUUUUUGGUUCCACCCCAAAAGGCUAGGGCAAGGGCAAAUACUAUUCAUUAUACUUUAUUUCAUAUUUUUUUAAUACUUUAAACCAUUAAUUUUGAUAAACUUUUCAGAUAAUAUUUUCGGUUGCCACGUGUCACUAUUUAUUAUUAAAUUAUCACAUAAAUUUUCAGAAAACAUUUUCGGAUAAGAUUUUUGGUUGCCAUGUAUCCAUCAUUUUUCAAAAAAGAUUUUUGGAUGAGAUUUUUGGUUGCCACGUGUCUUAUUUCAGAUAAAAUUUUUAGAUAUUUAUUUUAAAAAAAUUAUAAUCUCAAAUUUCAGAUAAGAUUUGCACCCUCUAAAAUUGUAAUCUCAUAUUUCAGAUAAGAUUUCAGAUAUUUAAAAAAUAAUUAUAAUCUCAUAUUUCAGAUAGAUUUUCACCCUCUAAAAUUGCGCCAUGUGUCCCAUGUCAGAUAAGAUUUUCAGAUAUUUUUAAAAAAAAAAUCUCGUAUUUCAGAUAAGAUUUUCGCUAUCUAAAAUUGCACCACGUGUUAUCUCUAUCUUCUGAAUCUCUCUAUAAAACUAUACCAUCAACUUAUACCUCUCACACCAUAUCUUAUCAAUUCCUUCAUUUCUCAUAUUUUACAAAACACAUUAUACUCUCAAUGUCAAGCUUGAGAAGGGUGUUGGAGAGGCAAGAGCGAGAAGAGGAAGAAAUUCGACGCAGACGUGCUGAGGAAGAUCGGGACACCGAUGAAGAAGAGGAAGAAAUGCUUGUAGCGGCGUGUAUGCUUAAUCAAUCAAGGCAACACCACCGUCGCCGUGCCCCGAAUGUGGAUAGACGUAGGCAGUCUCGGGGUAAGAAUAUGUUGGAAGAUUACUUUAUCCCAAAUUUGUUAUAUCUUGUUUCUAAGUUUCGAGAGAGAUAUAAAAUGCAGUCACAUUUGUUCCAAAAAAUCAUGCAUGAUAUUUGUAAUUACGACACAUACUUCAUUCAGAAGUAUAAUGCUAUUGGAGUUUUGGGUCUUCUCCCGGAGCAAAAAACUUACAGUUGCUUUGCGGAUGCUUACUUAUGGGGCAUCUACAGAGCAGGUGGAUAAGAUUGCAAGGAUGGGAAAAUCAACUAUCCUAGAGUGCUUGGUGAGAUUCUAUGAUGCAGUAGAAAAUCUGUACACGAGGGAGUACCUUUGCAAACCUAUGCCCAAGGACCUGCAAAGGCUUCUACAAAAAGCUGACGCUCGAGGUUUCCCAGGAAUGAUUGAAAGCAUCGAUUGCGUGCACUAGCAGUGGAAGAAUUGCCCAACUGCUUGGCAAGGAGACUAUGAGAAUCGAAAGGGCCAAAAAAGUAUAAUUUUGGAGGCCGUAGCUUCAUUCGACUGUUGGGUUUGACAUGCCUUCUUCAGAGUUGCCGGAUCUCAGAAUGACCUCAAUGUGCUUGGUCAAUCCCCAGUGUUCAACGAUGUAUCGCAAGGUCAUUCCCCCCAGGUCAUGUACCAUAUCAACAAUACCGUAUACUCUGGUAUGUAUUACCUUGCUGACGGAAUUUAUCCUAGGUGGAUAACAUUCAUGAAAACAUUUCCGAAUCCCCAAUCCGAGAAGGAAAAAAGCUUUGAUUCCUUUCAAAAAGGUUACAGGAAAGACGUGGAAAGGUGUUUCGGUAUCUUGCAAACUCGUUGGGGGUAUUAUUAGGGGUGUUGCUCGGAUGUUUGAUGAGGAGGUGCUACGGAGCAUUAUGAUGACUUGCAUCAUCCUCCACAACAUGAUUGUGGAGGAUGAGUAUGAUUAUGAUGCUCCAGAGGUGUUCGAACCGAAUCCAAUGAACAUGGGCUUGACAUGGAUUUAUGAAAGGCCGAUUUGACCAAGUGGACAUCCAUUAGAGCACGAACCGUUAGUUCGGGAUGGUCGAUUCAAUAACCCUAUGCUUGAUCGUUACCAGGAAAUGUAAUCUUUGUAUGUUCACGAGAGGCAUCAAGUUGACUUGAUCGAGCACUUGUGGGAGAUGAAAGGCAAUCACAAUGGAUGAAGUCAAGAUUAAUGCUUUGUUUUCAAGUUUGCUUUAUUUUGUGUGUGGUGUGGUUGGAAUUAUGUUUUGUUUUUAAUUAUGUUUUAUUUUGUGUGUGGUGUGUUUGGAAUUAUGCUUUGUUUUUAAUAAUGCUUUUAAUAAUGCUUUGUUUUGUGUGUUGUUUGCAAUAAAAUAAGGUUUGUUUUUAAUAAAUUUUUGUUUUCGUGUGCAAAUAUUUUUAAUAAAUAGUCAUAUUAUUUAAUGCUUUCUUUAUUGAAUAAAAGGGAAACACUACAACAAUUCUUAAUAUAUAUGGCAAAUCUUUCAAUCCAACCUAAUGGUUUUGAUCAUUUAACCAAUUAGUAUUGCUUGGUCCGUCGUCAUGGAAAAGUUUUCUUCUCAUCACAUCCCUUCGUUUCAUCUUCCAAUAGGACUUUGUUUUAGGAGACAUAUGCGUGGUAUCUAUGGCCAUGAUUUUCAUCUCUCUAUCCUCCAGCUCUUGUUCUUGUGCUUGCUGCCUUUCAAUUGCAAAUGCUUCAUGUCGUGCCUUGUCCGCUUCUUCUGUUUUCAAAUCUCUCUCAAGUCUCAGUACACUAUUCUUAGCAACUUGCUCUGAAAAUUGUGCACAUUCAUUGUUCGAAGUGCUCCCUUUCUUCGCAUUUGCCGCCUUUCUCCCAAUAGGUCUCCGUGCACGUGGGAGUGGUGAGUCUUGAUUCAUUGGGGAGUCCAAUGGUGAAUCAGUUGCCGGCGAAUCGUGGAGCGGUGUCUCAUUCAUCAUAACUGGCGAAGCAGUGCAAAUGAUUUUGAAAAUCGAAUAAUUCUUCACAAUUUCCCAACAUUGAUGACUCUGGAAUUUUUUUUUGCCUUGCCCCGUGGCACCGAACCACAUUUGUGCUUGUACGAUCUAUUAAACAAAAAAAAUGAAUAUGGAAGAAACUAUAAAUAAUUUGGAAAUACAAGAAAAAAAUUUGAUUAUGCAACAAAAUAUUAACAAGAAAUGCAAGAAAUAAAAUGAUUAUGCAAGAAAAAAAUAAAUAUGGAAGAAAAUACAAACAAGUUACAAAUGCAAAAAAAAAAUAUAUAUAUAUAUAUUUGAUUAUACAACAAAAUAUAAAUAAAUUAGAAAUUCAAGAAAAAAAAAUAUGCUAGAAAAAAAAAGUUACAUUAAAUUGAAUAAAACGAGAAUUAUAAAUAUUUUACCUUAUCGGUAAGAUUUUGACUGCUUCGAAUGUUGUCUCUCGCUUUUGCCAAGGCAUCCCUCCACUUCCCUAACUCUUUAUUCAAAAUUUUCCAUCUAGACUGUAAUGCCAUUUCCGUCCGAGCCAAACCGGCUCUUUCAGCAAAUUCUUCAUGAAUUUUUUUUCACAUAUGAGCAAACGUUAUCUUAUUGCCUGCUAUAGGGCAAUGACUAACUUUCACCCAAGACUCACACAACACAAUAUCUUCCACAGCAGUCCAAGCGCCUCCGGCUUUGACAGAAGAGGCCAUUUGUUUUUUGAUACAAAUGGAAACUAGUUUAAAAAUGUGAGUGGAAUGGAAAAAAAAUUGGAAGGAGAAGAGUUUGUAUGAAGAUUUGGUGUGAAAAGUGAAUACAAUUGAUAGGUAUUUAUAGGGAAAAAUUACAAUUUUUUUUGGUUUUUUUUAAUGAAAAAUUUCGAAUUUUUUUGGAUAUUUUUUUGCCAAAAAAACGAGGGCCGUCGAAUUUCUGGAAAAAAAAUCAUUGCAGCGCCCAGAGAGUGCCAUGUGGCAUUUUUCCGUUGGGCCCUGUCAGUGCUGAUGUUGGCGAGCAAAAGUCAAUUUUUUUUACCAUUGGCGCGUGAAAUUCACACGCCAACGGUAAAAAAAAUUUGAAAUUACGGAUGCUGAUGAUAGCGUGACGUCACGCCUAACAUCAACGCCUUCGGGCUUGAGCCUAGGCAAAUUUUGCCCAUGGGCUAGCCCGGGUUGGUGGGACCCAUCGCUUGCCUGGGCUUCUCCUCGCGCACUGGAGUCCUUCUGGGCUCAGAUGGGGGGCCUUUUGCCCGGUUUUGGUGCAGGGGUGGACUUGCUCUUAGCCUUAGCCUUUUGGGGUGGACAUGCUCUAAGUUCACCUCAAUCUCACAUUAUUAUAAAAUCACAGUUAAAUUGAUAUAUAAGUUGAGUUCAAUAUUGUAACAAAAAUAUAUAUAUUGAAAAUUAAAAUUUAAAACUUGCCUAUUCAUCUUCUUCCUCUAUCCAUUCGAAAAGAGCCGCUGCCACCAUUGGGAAGUUGAGGAGCAGUAGUAAAUCGUUUGUUGAUGGUUGUUGAACUCUUGUUUGGAUCUUUCAACUUCAUUCACAUUAAAAUCAUGGCCAAUUAUGUAUUUGGCAAUUAGGUAUGUUUCUAUUCUUCCUAUUCUCCCAAAUUCUAAUUAUCUUUGACUUGUUUUAUUAUUAAGCCCCUGAAAGAGUGCUAAUUUGGGCUUUAUCAUUGGUUCAAGUUCUGAAAUGAGCCAUUUGAACUCUGAUCGAUGGGUUUUUCUCAUUGGGUGAUUAGAAAGCCAAAGGAAGAAGAUGAAGAGUCCAUAAAAAUAAAAAGGUUUCCUUUGAUCAAUAUUUAUUUUAUUAUUCAAUCGAAAUAGGAAGGCCCAGGAAAAUUGCUCUCAUAUAAGUUACCAUAAUCAAAUAUGAAGAGUGGGAGUGUGGGGUGUGUGUAUAGAUGUAUUAGGGUUAAGUAUUAAGUUGGAUGUCUUUUUUGUCUUUUUACACAAUAAUAAAACUUAUGAGCUUAAUAAUUUGGGAGUUUCACUAAUAUACCCAAAAUAGGGGUUGAAAUUAUAAAAAAAAACCCUAUAUGAAAUGCACUUUAGAAACACACCCAAAAUCCAUUUACUACAUGAGAAAUGGGUGUUAAAGUUCCUAUAAAUUACAUGACUGCCAUUGAUUAACUUAAAAUAAGCCCAACACAAAAAACUCAAAAAAAAACCCAAAACAAGCCCAGCAAGCCCGAAGUACAUUGUUAAUACCAUAUCAUAGAAGUACAUUGAUAAUACCAUAUCAUAGAAGUACAUUGUUAAUACCAUGUCAUAGAACUGCAUUGUUAAUACCAUUUCCUACAAAAAAACUCAAAAACUCUAAAAAAGAGCCCAGUAAGACAUCCGAUAUUUUUGCAGAAACCACCUCCAAUUGUUCACAGUUUCACCAGAAACAGUCGCAAAGGCAAAACGAAAUACCUCUACAAGAAAAAGAAAAAAGAAAAAACACUAUUAAUACUAUGUCAUAACACUAUCUUCCUAGUAAAAAUUACAUUAUGCAUAUCAUAAACUUCAAGUGCAUAGCUAUAUAUAGAGCAAAUAUAGAGCAUGCUUUGUUACUGAAAAUCUGUUAAUACUAUGUCAUAGAAGUACACUGUUAAUAUUAUGUCAUAGAAGUGCACUGUUAAUACUAUGUCAUAGAAAUCAUCUCAGUUGCAGGGUAUGAACAGUAUAACAACUGUUCAUACCACUUACUGGAAGUUAACAAUUACGUCAUUUCAUUUGCAUAAUAGGUACGAUAAAGAAUCCAAACAGUACCAAACAUCAAAACCAAGUUAACACUAAAUAGUGUUUUACACAUUAAAAUCACAAAGAACCUAGAUCACUGAGAAUCUAAAUCCAAAACAGUAAUUAUCAAUUUUCUCAGUAACCAAACAUUAGAUAGCAUACACAGAUAGAGCCAAACAAGUCAACAACAAUGAGAAAAACAAGCAUAAUGAAUUCUAAAUCACUAAUUCCAAAUAUUGUAUCAUUCUAAAAUAGAAAAAGCAAUACAUCAAUGACUCAUAUUGACUAAUUAAGUAUUUUAUGCAAGAACUCAUCCCAAAAUUUUGACUACCACCAACUCUAGCAUCGUCGGUGCUCCAAAGAAUGAAGAAUCAAAUUGAAUCACCAUAUCACCAUUGCCAAAACCUCAAUUCAAUCAUAUGCUAAGCAAACACAUAAAUUGAACCCCUUUUUAAGGCUUUUGCAUAAUCUCUGAGAAAUUGCCCUUUAAAUAUAUCAUCAAGCAACCUGAGCCCAUAACCCUUCUUCCCACAUCGAAACUUCUCCAGUUUGGCAUAUCGGAGUUUUUGGAACUGUGCAAACAAAUCUAUUAACUAAAACAAUUCUCUUUGCAUAGUAAAACAAAAAUUACUAUAAGGAAAAGCUAAAAUACCUGUUGAUUUGAACAAAGGUCUCUAUUCCGUAUGUGUUGAGGUUGUUGUGGUUGACGUCGCUCAAAUUCGACGACGCUAGAGAAGGAACUGGAGGUGUGUCGUCGGCCGACAGAGAUUGAGACGGAGAUGAUUGCGGUUGCAUCGGAGAUGAAGAAGGAUGGUGCAUUCAUUGGAGCGUCCGACGGAGAUGGAGGAAGGGAAAUCGGAGAUAGAGUUUUGGGCGAAGGUGAAUCGACGACGGGUUAUGGUGAUGGAGUUAGCGAGGACUAUGGUGAAGACGAAGAAGAUUAAAUGGGAAUUGGACUAGGAGAAAAGCCAGAAGCAGAGCUUGAUUGUUGAAGAAGAAGAAGAAAGUUCGAGAUGUGUGUUGAUGAAGAUUGAGUUGAUUAAUAGACAAAGCAAAAGGGCAAAACAGUAAUCCAACAUAGCUGUUGAGUUUAAGAAAUUGACAGCUGUCAAUUUUUGGGUUUAUUUUGGGUGUGUUUAUAUGUAUUGAAUGGUAUAGGGUUUCUUUAUAGAACUAUGUCUAGAAAUGGAUAUUUAACUAAUUUUUUAUAAUAAUUUAGGUAUUGGGGUGAACAAAGAAAAGUGUGGGGUUUAAAUAGAAAAACUCUAUAUUUAUUCCUCUUUAAACUUCUUCUUUCAAGUGCAGGAUAACCCCAAAGGGUUGCAAUUUUUUUUAUUUUUUUUUCCUACCAAUAGGGGCCCUAAUAGUUAACAAUAUAGAUAAGGUUUGAGUUAAGCAUCUAGUAACGUCUAAACGGGUCCACAUAAUGAUCAAGAAACACUUGUUAAACAUGCUUGGAGAAACCGAAACUAGAUAAGACGUCAAAAGCAAACCCUACACGCAUAUUCAAUUACUCGUCUUCUUCAAAACUGCCGUUCUAGACUCUUCCUCUUUAUAAAUAAAAGGGACCCGUGAAUUGGUUUGUUUGUGGACAAACAAGUCAUACCUUGAUCUGGUAUGCUAUAGGUUUUUGUUUCCAUAAAGGAAAUGAU